Molecule: ribosomal RNA, 499 nt
Filed under: uncultured bacterium
Lineage: Bacteria
Description: bacterial SSU rRNA
Rfam family: Bacterial small subunit ribosomal RNA
Source: RNAcentral
AGCAGUGGGGAAUANNGCACAAUNNNGNAAACCCUGAUGCAGCCAUGCCGCGUGUGUGAAGAAGGCUUUCGGGUUGUAAAGCACUUUCAGCGAGGAGGAAAGGGUAUUGCUUAAUACGUAAUAUCUGUGACGUUACUCGCAGAAGAAGCACCGGCUAACUCCGUGCCAGCAGCCGCGGUAAUACGGAGGGUGCAAGCGUUAAUUGGAAUUACUGGGCGUAAAGCGCGCGUAGGUGGUUAAUUAAGUCAGAUGUGAAAGCCCAGGGCUCAACCUCGGAACUGCAUUUGAAACUGGUUAACUAGAGUUUUGUAGAGGGUGGUAGAAUUUCAGGUGUAGCGGUGAAAUGCGUAGAGAUCUGAAGGAAUACCAGUGGCGAAGGCGGCCACCUGGACAAAAACUGACACUGAGGCGCGAAGGCGUGGGGAGCAAACGGGAUUAGAUACCCCGGUAGUCCACGCAGUAAACGAUGUCUAUUAGAAGUUUGUGGCUAUAUGCCGUG